AAAUACCAAGGACUCGAGGAAGAGCUGGAGAAAGCCUGGAAGGUGAAGGCAACAGUCUUACCAGUGGUCAUCGGAGAACUGGGGGCCAUGUCCCCCACACAGGAGAAGUGGCUCCACCAGAUACCUGGAGAAACAUCAGACAUCUUCAUCCAGAAGAGCACAGUCCUAUGAACA
This is a long non-coding RNA of Melanotaenia boesemani (Boeseman's rainbowfish), 174 nucleotides long. RefSeq lists it as uncharacterized. The transcript has 3 exons. The record is from RefSeq and is a predicted model, not a curated record. Lineage: Eukaryota; Metazoa; Chordata; Actinopteri; Atheriniformes; Melanotaeniidae.